GACGAACGCUGGCGGCGUGCUUAACACAUGCAAGUCGAACGGAAAGGCCCUGCUUUUGUGGGGUGCUCGAGUGGCGAACGGGUGAGUAACACGUGAGUAACCUGCCCUUGACUUUGGGAUAACUUCAGGAAACUGGGGCUAAUACCGGAUAGGAGCUCCUGCUGCAUGGUGGGGGUUGGAAAGUUUCGGCGGUUGGGGAUGGACUCGCGGCUUAUCAGCUUGUUGGUGGGGUAGUGGCUUACCAAGGCUUUGACGGGUAGCCGGCCUGGGAGGGUGACCGGCCACAUUGGGACUGAGGUACGGCCCAGACUCCAACGGGAGGCAGCAGUGGGGAAUAUUGCACAAUGGGCGGAAGCCUGAUGCAGCAACGCCGCGUGCGGGAUGACGGCCUUCGGGUUGUAAACCGCUUUCGCCUGUGACGAAGCGUGAGUGACGGUAAUGGGUAAAGAAGCACCGGCUAACUACGUG
RNAcentral lists this ribosomal RNA (468 nucleotides) under uncultured bacterium. RNAcentral describes it as "partial 16S ribosomal RNA". It matches the Rfam family "Bacterial small subunit ribosomal RNA", at positions 28 to 507 of the family's 1533-position model. The record is from RNAcentral.